GUGAACUUUAUGAUCCUGGGUGCCCCCCAGCGGUAUUGUAUUCCCGCUUGUCUCAGGCUGCUGGUGAGGUUGUACAUCGUUUUUCGCCAUUGCAGUGUUGCUCUUGUCAGGUCUUGGAAGAAGAGCAGUUGUGCAUUCUCGAAUGCCAGGGGUGUCUUGCCUUUCACCGCAUUCAUUAUAGUGAUUCUAUCCUGUGUCGUGGCGCAGCAUAGGAUGAUGUCUCGUGCUUCUGUGGGUGGUGAGUUGGGUCCUGCUGGCAGUCGGUAUGAGCACUCCAGUGUGAUUUUCCGGGCAGCUGCUGGUGGCAGGAUUGUGGCUAGGAGCCUCCUUAGGAAAUGAGGCUGUUCAGCCUGUGUGAUCGCCGCGGGCACCCCUCGGAGCUUGAUGUGGUUACGACGCAGGCGGUCCCCUUGGGUGGAGACCUGCAC
This is a non-coding RNA of Pelobates cultripes (western spadefoot toad), 428 nucleotides long. Lineage: Eukaryota; Metazoa; Chordata; Amphibia; Anura; Pelobatidae. The record is from the annotation of a GenBank genome assembly.